UACGGAGGGUGCAAGCGUUGUGCGGAAUUACUGGGCGUAAAGCGGGUGUAGGCGGCCGCACAAGUCAGAUGUGAAAGCCCUGGGCCUAACCCAGGAACUGCAUUUGAUACUGCGUGGCUCGAGUCCCGGAGAGGAGGGCGGAAUUCCAGGUGUAGAGGUGAAAUUCGUAGAUAUCUGGAGGAACACCAGCGGCGAAGGCGGCCAUCUGGACUGUGACUGACGCUCAGACCCGAAAGCGUGGGUAGCAAACAGG
RNAcentral lists this ribosomal RNA (253 nucleotides) under uncultured bacterium. RNAcentral describes it as "partial 16S ribosomal RNA". It matches the Rfam family "Bacterial small subunit ribosomal RNA", at positions 524 to 776 of the family's 1533-position model. The record is from RNAcentral.